Molecule: non-coding RNA, 73 nt
Organism: Podarcis lilfordi (Lilford's wall lizard)
Lineage: Eukaryota; Metazoa; Chordata; Lepidosauria; Squamata; Lacertidae
Source: the annotation of a GenBank genome assembly
GAACAAUAUGGCUCAGGGGCAGAGUAUGUGAUUUGCAUGCAAAAGGUCUCAGGUUCAAUAUCUGGUAUCUUCA